This 454-nucleotide ribosomal RNA is filed under the name uncultured bacterium. Its description in RNAcentral is "partial 16S ribosomal RNA". It matches the Rfam family "Bacterial small subunit ribosomal RNA", at positions 28 to 507 of the family's 1533-position model. The record is from RNAcentral.
GAUGAACGCUGACAGAAUGCUUAACACAUGCAAGUCAACUUGAACUUCGGUUUGGGUGGCGGACGGGUGAGUAACGCGUAAAGAACUUGCCUCACAGCUAGGGACAACAUUUGGAAACGAAUGCUAAUACCUGAUAUUAUGAUUAUAUGGCAUCGUAUAAUUAUGAAAGCUAUAUGCGCUGUGAGAGAGCUUUGCGUCCCAUUAGCUAGUUGGAGAGGUAACAGCUCACCAAGGCGAUGAUGGGUAGCCGGCCUGAGAGGGUGAUCGGCCACAAGGGGACUGAGACACGGCCCUUACUCCUACGUGAGGCAGCAGUGGGGAAUAUUGGACAAUGGACCGAGAGUCUGAUCCAGCAAUUCUGUGUGCACGAUGAAGUUUUUCGGAAUGUAAAGUGCUUUCAGUUGGGAAGAAAAAAAUGACGGUACCAACAGAAGAAGUGACGGCUAAAUACGUG